Long non-coding RNA from Poecilia latipinna (sailfin molly), 890 nucleotides. RefSeq lists it as uncharacterized. The record is from RefSeq and is a predicted model, not a curated record. NCBI's taxonomy places the organism in Eukaryota, Metazoa, Chordata, Actinopteri, Cyprinodontiformes, Poeciliidae. The transcript has 2 exons.
AACAUCCAUUAUCUCAUUUUUAAAUUAAGAUGAAUGCUAUUUCCAUUUUUUGAUUAAUUUCAAAUACUCAUAAUCUUUGGUGUGUACAUGGCUACUUUUAAGUUAUUAAAAUGUAUUUCUGCCCCUCCUGCGGUAAAGUAAAAUUAUUCUUGUCAAACCAAAAGUUGCAAUAAAGCAAUAAAAUGAGUAACAUGACUGAUUUAGCAAGUAGAUAUGGACUUCUCUGCACAUUUAUCUUGGCAGGAAGUCUCAAAACCACGAACUGCAGCAGCUACUAAAAACAGUUUGCUUGAAGCGACUGUGCAGCCGGUGACUGAAUCCACCAAUACGAGCAGAAAUGGCUGCAGUCCCACUGAUCCAAGCUAUUCCUAAUUCAGAAUAAAUAAUUUAUAUACUUCUUUGUUUCUGCUGGGGUUUAGUUCGGUGCGCCUUCGAAACCUUUUGGUGCAGAGAAGCAGCAGCUCUACUCUGGAAAAAUACCUCACAUUUCUAAACCUUUCCUGGUUUAAGGUCUUUCCAAACUGUUUUAUACGUUGCCAUUUCUUAUCAGAGUGGCCGACUUUUAAAACAUGAACCCGAACAAUAAAAUGGCUUUAGGCUGAUCUCAUGAUGAUUACAUCAUCUUUAUUGUUGAACACCUGACUGAGGAAGCUAAAGUUUCAGCUGACUGUUUAUAGACGUGUAGUAACUGGGUCAGCUGUGAAAAUGGGGGCAAAUGGCAGUCAGGUUAUCAUGUUGUUUUUCUAUUUAUGACACCAUGUUUAGUUUCUCAGUCAGGUUUGACUGUUUUUGUGACGAGUUAUAACCUGAAACAAAAGAAGAGAUGUGAUGGUGGUUUUCUCAAAAAGCUUCUCUAAGCAACUCUACACAUGAAGAUCUGUCAAAAUGUU